This 479-nucleotide long non-coding RNA is filed under the name Fukomys damarensis (Damara mole-rat). Its description in RNAcentral is "lncRNA (ENSFDAG00000029929.1)". The record is from RNAcentral. Lineage: Eukaryota; Metazoa; Chordata; Mammalia; Rodentia; Bathyergidae.
CGUGACGCCCACGGGCGCCCUCCCCACGGACUCGUUCUCGGCAGCCGGCCCAGGCUGUGUUCUGUGCGCUCUGACCUUCUGAGUGGCGCCCAGGAGGACGUCAGUCCGCUUCGAACCUAGAAGCCCCUGUGAAACUUUAAGGGAAAGAGAGGAGUGGAGGCGGGAGGCCCAGAACCUACUAAAUAGCAAACUCUGCCCGGACCCCUUACCGGGGUCUCUCUGCGACACGUCGGCUGCCCCGCGCUUGCGCGCACAGUGCCUCUCCUGCCUGGAACGUGAGGCUCUGCCCAACACAAGAGUCAAGAUUAAGGAUGCUCAACCUGUACAAUGCCUACCACAAAAAAAUAUGUAUGUGGAGAAGAAACAAGGCUUGAUAUAUAUGGGCCAGACACUAAUCUGUGGAAAAUUAUUCUAAUCAUUAAGCUUGUAAAAAUACCAGGUAAGGAUUUGGUUUGCUCAUCAAUGCCUUAGCAGACACC